AUUGAACGCUGGCGGCAUGCCUAACACAUGCAAGUCGAACGAGUGGAGGACGGGCGAGCAAUGUAUGGGAACCUGGCUGACCGAGCGGGCAAACUACGGGAAACGGUAGCUAAUACCGCAUACCACUCGUUCUGCUGACGUGGGAUUAGCUAGUAGGUGGGGUAAAGGCUCACCUAGGCGUCGCUCCCUAGCAGGUCUGAGAGGAUGACCAGCCACACUGGAACUGAGACACGGUCCAGACUCCUACGGGAGGCAGCAGUAGGGAAUAUUGCGCAAUGGGCGCAAGCCUGAUGGAGCCACGCCGCGUGUGUGAAGAAGGCCUUCGGGUUGUAAAGCACUGUCGUCGGGGAAGCGGUACCCACCCAAGAAGCACCGGCUAACUCCGUGCCAGCAGCCGCGGUAAUAC
RNAcentral lists this ribosomal RNA (406 nucleotides) under uncultured bacterium. Its description in RNAcentral is "partial 16S ribosomal RNA". It matches the Rfam family "Bacterial small subunit ribosomal RNA", at positions 30 to 526 of the family's 1533-position model. The record is from RNAcentral.